Molecule: ribosomal RNA, 1431 nt
Filed under: uncultured bacterium
Lineage: Bacteria
Description: 16S ribosomal RNA
Rfam family: Bacterial small subunit ribosomal RNA
Source: RNAcentral
GAUUAACGCUGGCGGCGUGCCUAAUACAUGCAAGUCGAACGGAAAUAUCCUUCGGGGUAUUUUAGUGGCGAACGGGUGAGUAAUACGUAGGUAACCUACCUGUAAGACGAGGAUAGCCAUUGGAAACGAUGGGUAAUACUGGAUAGGGACAACAGGUAAAGCAUUUUAAGUUGUUUAAAGGGAGGAAUCCGCUUACAGAGGGGCCUGCGGCGCAUUAGCUAGUUGGUGGGGUAAGGGCCCACCAAGGCGAUGAUGCGUAGCCGGACUGAGAGGUUGAACGGCCACAAUGGAACUGAGAACGGUCCAUACUCCUACGGGAGGCAGCAGUAGGGAAUUUUCGGCAAUGGGGGGAACCCUGACCGAGCAACGCCGCGUGAACGAAGAAGUACUUCGGUAUGUAAAGUUCUUUUAUUUGGGAAGAAAAGGAAAAAGAUUGACGGUACCAAAAGAAUAAGCUCCGGCUAACUACGUGCCAGCAGCCGCGGUAAUACGUAGGGAGCGAGCGUUAUCCGGAAUUAUUGGGCGUAAAGGGUGCGUAGACGGGGAAUAUAAGUCGUUUGUAAAAAUGCUAAGCUCAACUUAGUAGGGCAAACGAUACUGUAGACCUAGAGUACAGCAGAGGCAAGUGGAACUUCAUGUGUAGCGGUAAAAUGCGUAAAUAUAUGGAAGAACACCAGUGGCGAAGGCGGCUUGCUGGGCUGAUACUGACGUUGAGGCACGAAAGCGUGGGGAGCAAACAGGAUUAGAUACCCUGGUAGUCCACGCCCUAAACGAUGAGUACUAAGUGUUGGUGAGAAUCAGUGCUGAAGUUAACACAUUAAGUACUCCGCCUGAGUAGUACGUACGCAAGUAUGAAACUUAAAGGAAUUGACGGGAGCCCGCACAAGCGGUGGAGCAUGUUGUUUAAUUCGACGAUACGCGAAGAACCUUACCAGGUCUUGACAUCUGCUGCGAAGUUAUAGAGAUAUAAUGGAGGAUAACAGCAAGACAGGUGGUGCAUGGUUGUCGUCAGCUCGUGUCGUGAGAUGUUGGGUUAAGUCCCGCAACGAGCGCAACCCUUAUUUCUAGUUACCAUCAUUGAGUUGGGGACUCUAGAGAGACUGCCAUUGAUAAAAUGGAGGAAGGUGGGGAUGAGGUCAAAUCAUCAUGCCCUUUAUGACCUGGGCUACAAACGUGCUACAAUGGCUGAAACAAAGAGAGGCGAAGCCGCGAGGUGGAGCAAAACUCAAAAAAGCAGUCUCAGUUCGGAUUGAAGUCUGCAACUCGACUUCAUGAAGAUGGAAUCGCUAGUAAUCGCGAAUCAGAAUGUCGCGGUGAAUACGUUCUCGGGCUUUGUACACACCGCCCGUCAAACCAUGAGAGUUUGUAAUACCCGAAGCCGGUGGCCUAACGAAAGAGGGAGCCGUCUAAGGUAGGACAGAUGAUUGGGGU